AUUUUCAUAGAAGGGGGAUGGGCUCACUGACUGCCUUAAAAGGGGACCCGCUGUAGUCUUGCUUCAACGAUUCUUAAAGUGGGAGACUGAAGAAUGAUGGAAGUUUAAAUAUAUAGUCAAAUGCAUAAGGGAGCAACCAUUUAAUAUCAAUGUGUUUUUGUCUGAGUCAGAAUACUUUUAUCAGAGACCAGAAUACUUUCUUAGGGAAAAUAACAAACCCCAUCCCUCCUUUGAAAAUAAAUGGUCGUUUUCUUAUUGUGUAAUAUUAAGUUAGUGUUUAUAGUAAAUAGGAAAUAACGGGCCACCAAAUAAUAGAAAACUUGAGAUCAAUAAGUGCACUUAUAGCUACAAAGAAUAAAGAAAAAUUGAAAAAAACUAAAUAAACAGAGAGAGAAAUUAAAGUAUAUAAAAAUAAAGACCCCUUUUCCUAUACCAUACAGACCCUCUGAUAUGACGGUUUCAACGAUAAGUUGACGAUAACGUUAUCUGCGAAAGUGAGUGUUCCCCUAUACCGACCGUAGUCAUUUAAAGAUAAUGUAUACAGUGACCAUGGGUUGAACCAGGUGAAAACGAUCUACCUUCACGAGCUUACAUCGAAUUGUAUUACAUACAUUUAUGUAAAAAACUUACUUUGCCUCAUUACUUUCUAAGUACUUCUCUUACGGGUUUUAUAAAUCUAUAUGUUCAAAGUUUUUCGAUAAUAUGUUUUGUUAUAU
This 716-nucleotide long non-coding RNA is filed under the name Mytilus galloprovincialis (Mediterranean mussel). The record is from RNAcentral. Lineage: Eukaryota; Metazoa; Mollusca; Bivalvia; Mytilida; Mytilidae.